UUGUUGCAGUUAAAAAGCUCGUAGUUGGAUUUCUGCGGGGGCGGGGCGGCCGGAUGCUUAUAGCAUCUCGAGCUAGCACUUCCCCCGCAUCCUGCCGCGAACCGUGCUACCGUUAGUUUGGUGGCGCUGGGGAUCGGCUCGUUUACUUUGAGAAAAAUAGAGUGUUCAAAGCAGGCCACACGCCUUGAAUAAGUUAGCAUGGAAUAAUGAUAAAGGACUUCGGUUCUAUUUUGUUGGUGUUCGGGACUGAAGUAAUGAUUGAUAGGGACAGUUGGGGCGGUCAGUAUUCCAAAGCGAGAGGUGAAAUUCUUAGACCUUCGGAAGACUAACAGCUGCGAAAGCGUUCCGCAAGGAUGUUCCCUUUGAUCAAGAACGAAAGUUGGGGGAUCGAAGACGAUCAGAUACCGUCGUAGUCUCAACUAUAAACUAUACCAGCUAGGGAUCGGCCGACGUUUACUUAUAUCGACUCGGUCGGCACCUUAUGAGAAAUCAAAGCAUCUGGGUUCCGGGGGGAGUAUGGUCGCAAGGCUGAAACUUAAGGAAU
RNAcentral lists this ribosomal RNA (544 nucleotides) under uncultured marine eukaryote. RNAcentral describes it as "bacterial SSU rRNA". It matches the Rfam family "Eukaryotic small subunit ribosomal RNA", at positions 610 to 1153 of the family's 1831-position model. The record is from RNAcentral.